AAAAUCCCUUGUGGGGUUUGGUGUUUCACUUUUUAAAGGGAGGGAGUUCUCACAAGAUCUGAUGGUUUAAGCGUGGCAGUUUCCCCUGAGCUCUCCUUCCUGCUGGUAUGUAAGGCGUGCUUUGCUUCCUCUUCACCUUCCGCCAUGAUUGUACAUUUCCUGAGGCCUCCCCAGCCAUGCAGAACUGUGAGUCAAUUAAACCUCUUUUCUUUAUAAAUUAACCAGUCUCUGGUAUUCUUUAUAGCAGUGUGAAAAUGGACUUAUACAGUUG
RNAcentral lists this long non-coding RNA (271 nucleotides) under Homo sapiens (human). RNAcentral describes it as "non-protein coding lnc-TIMM21-5:9". Lineage: Eukaryota; Metazoa; Chordata; Mammalia; Primates; Hominidae. The record is from RNAcentral.